UGGGGGAUCGUCCAGCGGCAGGACGGCAGACUCUGGAUCUGUCUACCGAGGUUCGAAUCCUCGUCCCCCAGCCA
RNAcentral lists this transfer RNA (74 nucleotides) under Pseudomonadota bacterium. RNAcentral's name for it is "Proteobacteria bacterium (sediment metagenome) tRNA-Gln". It matches the Rfam family "tRNA". Rfam says of the family: Transfer RNA (tRNA) molecules are approximately 80 nucleotides in length. RNAcentral also lists the same sequence under 4 other names. Lineage: Bacteria; Pseudomonadati; Pseudomonadota. The record is from RNAcentral.